UACGGAGGGUGCAAGCGUUAUCCGGAUUCACUGGGUUUAAAGGGUGCGUAGGUGGGCAGGUAAGUCAGUGGUGAAAUCUCCGGGCUUAACCCGGAAACUGCCGUUGAUACUAUCUGUCUUGAAUAUCGUGGAGGUGAGCGGAGUAUGUCAUGUAGCGGUGAAAUGCUUAGAUAUGACAUAGAACAUCAAUUGCGAAGGCAGCUCGCUACACGGUUAUUGACACUGAGGCACGAAAGCGUGGGGAUCAAACAGG
Molecule: ribosomal RNA, 253 nt
Filed under: uncultured bacterium
Lineage: Bacteria
Description: partial 16S ribosomal RNA
Rfam family: Bacterial small subunit ribosomal RNA
Source: RNAcentral